GAUGAACGCUGGCGGCGUGCCUAAUACAUGCAAGUCGAGCGAACGGACGAGAAGCUUGCUUCUCUGAUGUUAGCGGCGGACGGGUGAGUAACACGUGGAUAACCUACCUAUAAGACUGGGAUAACUUCGGGAAACCGUAGCUAAUACCGGAUAAUAUUUUGAACCGCAUGGUUCAAAAGUGAAAGACGGUCUUGCUGUCACUUAUAGAUGGAUCCGCGCCGCAUUAGCUAGUUGGUAAGGUAACGGCUUACCAAGGCAACGAUGCAUAGCCGACCUGAGAGGGUGAUCGGCCACACUGGAACUGAGACACGGUCCAGACUCCUACGGGAGGCAGCAGUAGGGAAUCUUCCGCAAUGGGCGAAAGCCUGACGGAGCAACGCCGCGUGAGUGAUGAAGGUCUUCGGAUCGUAAAACUCUGUUAUUAGUGAAGAACAUAUGUGUAAGUAACUGUGCACAUCUUGACGGUACCUAAUCAGAAAGCCACGGCUAACUACGUG
This 497-nucleotide ribosomal RNA is filed under the name uncultured bacterium. Its description in RNAcentral is "partial 16S ribosomal RNA". It matches the Rfam family "Bacterial small subunit ribosomal RNA", at positions 28 to 507 of the family's 1533-position model. The record is from RNAcentral.